Molecule: microRNA precursor, 88 nt
Filed under: Pelobates cultripes (western spadefoot toad)
Lineage: Eukaryota; Metazoa; Chordata; Amphibia; Anura; Pelobatidae
Source: RNAcentral
GUCCGAGACACGUUUUGCCUUAUCUCCAAAAGGCUUUCUCAAGCUUUCUCAAAAGCCUUUUGGAGAUAAGGCAAAACGCAUCUCGGAC